AAGUCGUAACAAGGUAACCGUAGGUGAACCUGCGGUUGGAUCAUUAACAAUGCAAUCAGGCUACCCCUGGUCGAGCUUUUCAAGUUCUCAGGAUCCUGAUAUAUUGCUACCCAUUCUCUGUGCACCGUAAACUGUCUCUGGCGGUCGUAGGAGUAACUAAGAAAUCUUUAGUUGCUUCUCUAGUUCAUUUGCCCGUAAGGAAAGCAGAUGAAUGAAGCCGCCAAACGGGUUUAAAACACUCUUGUAUUUGUUUUAUUUUUAUUAUUUUUCUUUGUCUGAGACAAAAGUGCCAUUUUUGGUAUGGCAAAAAAUGCGCUUUCAUAAACAACUUUUGGCAACGGAUCUCUUGGCUCUC
RNAcentral lists this unclassified non-coding RNA (355 nucleotides) under fungal sp. RNAcentral describes it as "partial internal transcribed spacer region". The stretch from base 1 to 46 matches the Rfam family "Eukaryotic small subunit ribosomal RNA", at positions 1786 to 1831 of the family's 1831-position model. The record is from RNAcentral. Lineage: Eukaryota; Fungi.